Molecule: long non-coding RNA, 2366 nt
Organism: Passer domesticus (house sparrow)
Lineage: Eukaryota; Metazoa; Chordata; Aves; Passeriformes; Passeridae
Exons: 3
Source: RefSeq, a predicted model, not a curated record
GUGCCUGGAGGUGUUUGGUGACAUCACAGACACCCAGGGAGUUGUUCACCCUGUGCCCCCAGGGCACAGAACUUCUGAAACCACCCCCCACCCCUGUGGCUGUGUGAUUCAAGAAACCAAAUUGCCAUGCCCAGGUUUUUCUUCCUUGAGAAAGAACACCCAGCAAAGGGAGAUCAGACCCAUAGGAAUUUUUGAGGAACAGGGUUUGCAUCCUCCAUCACCUCAGCGGGAGACACUGGCAUUUCCCCCAGAGCAGAGUUAAUAUUCUCUGUGCCUGCAGCAGCAGCUCCAGCCCUCUCCUCCCCAGCUCCCCCUUCCCAGGCUGAAUGUUUUGGCAGACUUCUUGUUCCAAACCAGUGGACCUUGUAACGCCUCGGAAUGCAUAAUCCAAACCUCCCUGCCUAGCAAAGGCAGGAGUUGGGACAAAGCAGCGUGCACCUUCUAUCCUUUAGUUACCAGUUCAAGCUGUGAGGAAGAAAAAAGGGGUUUUCUCUGUGCUCUCAUUAUCCUCCUGCCCUGGCCUGCCCCACUGAGUCCCUCAGACCCACACAGGCCUGGAGGAUCUGCAUUCCCUGCUGGGAUCGAGCCAGCUCUGCAGCCAGGAGCAUCAGAGAACAUCUUCCCCUGGUGUUCCCUGGCUUGUGAUCCCUGCUGAAAGGCAGCUCCAGCUUUUUGAAGACCUCAGAGCUGCUCCAAGGCCACACGAGAGCGAUGAAGGGAACAAUCAGGAGUCUGUGACAGAUUUCUGCUCUUGUCUGCCAGGACAGGUGAGCCCAGGCGCUGCACAGCCCCCAGGACCUGGGCAAGGACGUCAGGUUUGCCCCUCAAUUCACUGCAGCUGCAGGUGAUGCAUCAGAGUGAAGGCUCUCCACUGAUGAUCCGUGCAAACAGGCCAUCCAUCAUUAGUGAAGCUGCCUGGAGCUCGGUGCUGUCACUGGAACGAGUGGUGGUGGAGCACAAGGUGUCAUAGGUGGCUCUCCAUCCCUUCAGAGGCUGAUGAAAAUCAAUCCCGAAGGAAUGUGCCAGCUCUGCAGGUGGAACCUGAACUCCUUGCUUCUGCAAAGACCCCUUGAAGCAGAGAGCAAGGAAAACUGUUUCAGUUCACAAAAGCCUGUGGUGGAUGAAGAUUCCAGGUCUGCUUGCCAGCUCUCCCACAGGUAGCUCCUGCUGCAUGGCUUUGGUGACCAAUCCAACCCCCCAGUUCAGCCUCAGCUUGGAGUACCUGAGUAACACAGGUUCCCCUGGUCCAGGAGGCUGGAGACCAAGCUAUUUCUAGAUCUCUCUAACUCACAGAAGUCUCUGAACAUUUUGUUUCCUUUUAGCCACCAGCAAGGCCUGAAAAUAGGGCCCCAACUGGCUUCAUGAAGGUGCUGAAGCUGGGAGAACCGUGGAGUGAGGGAAGGAGAGAGCCAGGCACAAACUCAGCGUGGGCUGAGCUGUGGCAGGGAGGACCAGGAAAUGUCAGGCUGUGUGUUUAGGUGACUCUUUGUGUUAUAUUUUCUUCCUUGAGCCAGGUCUUACAAGCUCUUGAAGGAAAAUAUAAUACACCCAAGAUAGCUCAGCUGCAGUUGGGGGCAUAAAAUGAGCACGAUGGCUUCUGCUGUAGUGUUGGAAACAAAAAGUUUUAAUAAAGGGCAAAACAACAAACAGAAAAACCCGAGCCAGGUGCAGAGGUCUGCUCCGAGAAAACACCUCACAAAAGCCCUCAGUUCCUUUGUUCUCUUAUUUUUCUACCCAAAUGGUCAGGCAGGACUUUUUGACUUCUAUCCAAUCAGCUGCCCUUAAGUUUGAGGUGAAGCCUCUUGGGUCCUACGAGGUGGCUUUUUACCCUCAUCAAUGAGAGAAACUUCUGGGCUUCUUUCCUUUUCAGGGAGACAAAGGAUAGUUUUGUCACUGUCAACAGGAGGCACACUCCUACAUCUUUGUGUUUCACCUACUUCAGCUCUGCCUUACAGGAGCAAGAGUUUAGCCAGGCUGGUCUGGAAGCCUGGCUUUGGAAGGGAAGAGUGCUGGGGCUCUCCAGCUGGAGACUCAGCACACCUUGGGCCUGUGCAGGGUGGGAAUAAACCUCCUCCUCCUCCUCCCCUGUGCACAGGAUGUGCUCCUUUUUUCUGUCACAGGACAAACCAGAACAGAAGAGCUCCUGCCUGGCUGUGCCUCGCUCCUGCCGUGCCUGAGCACGCCGGGGUGAUCGGAGGUGUCAUGUGUGCAUCAUUUAAAUUAACGUUACUAAAACAACAAUGCUAUUUUUAAUAUUUAAAGAGCCCCUUUGAAGAGUAGGAGAAUCUGUCACCUUUCCUGGUGGAUUUGAAUCCUGUGUUCUGAGGGUUUUUCUUCUCUGAUUAAAGCAGUUGCCUGCAUGAGGA